UUAAUUUAGAAGCAAUACUGCAUUUUAUAUCUGACAGAAAUAAAGAUUCUUGAAUGAGUGGAGUGUGGAAAAGAAGGCAGAGAUGCUAUCAGUUGUACUCUGUGGACUAAUGAAGAAAAUGAAGAAGAAAACCCCAUGAUUCACAAAGAGGUAUAGAGGUUGCUGGAUGAUUUAAGGCCAGAUUAACAAAUCACUACAAUGCAAUUUAAGGCUUUAGAUAAUGGGAGGUCAAACAUGUAUUACCAGCUGACUUAAAUUUGAUUUGACUGAAAGAUAAAACUCAGCUACAUGAACCAUAUUAACUGAAAGCCUCUGCUUUACAUUUCUCACUGAUGGCACCCUGGGGAGGUAACUUUCUUGGCAUUUCACAUCCAAUUUAAGCACAUCAUUGAUGAAAAGAUGGCUAAAUUGGUGCGUCAUUUUGUAAUAAAAUAUCUCACAAAUUGUUUAUCUGAUCAAUGGAGAAUGCAGUCUCAAGCUGUUCGGGGCUAAUGUGCUCACUGCACUCAAAUACCUGCUACAGGGAAGGACACAGUAAGAGAAAAGUCACAAGACUGAGAUGGGAGAAUGAGAAAAUAAACAGUAAUACAAGGGAUGUCAGUAGACGGGGCAAAAAGCAUCAUAUAUUGCCAAUUGGUAGCAACUAAGGUAUUUAAAAAUAAAUUGCCUCAAAAGAUCCCAGGUGGAUCAUCUAGAGUCCCUUUAUUGCUAGUGAGCAUACCUGGGCUGCCAACCACUUGUCCUGACUGAAACAUCUAUCUUUGGAAAAGGUGAAUUAUGUCUCAGAAGUACCUUUUUGUCCCCUGACUACAAAAAUAAUAAUAAUAGAAAAGAGCACUUAAGAUGUUGAUGACUACUUUGUAACCCUGAAAAACUAGUUGAAAUAAAUUCUACCCUUACUUCCUUCA
RNAcentral lists this long non-coding RNA (908 nucleotides) under Anas platyrhynchos platyrhynchos (common mallard). Its description in RNAcentral is "lncRNA (ENSAPLG00000021431.1)". The record is from RNAcentral. Lineage: Eukaryota; Metazoa; Chordata; Aves; Anseriformes; Anatidae.